Molecule: long non-coding RNA, 2295 nt
Filed under: Homo sapiens (human)
Lineage: Eukaryota; Metazoa; Chordata; Mammalia; Primates; Hominidae
Source: RNAcentral
GUCUCAAGCCCAUCACAAGAAAGCAAGUACAGUGUGGAUUUCAAAUGGUGUGUAACUUCAGCUCCAGCUGGUUUUUGACAGCUGUUGCUGUGGUAAUAUUUUUUACAUGUGAUGGUGAUAGUCUCUGGUUCUCCCCAUCCCCACAAAGGCUGUUGAACCACAGCACCAGGAAGCCUGAGAAUGAAUCCUGAGGGCUCUAGCCCAGGCUUUGUCCCAGGCUUUCUGGUGUGUGCCCUCCUGGUAACAGUGAAAUUGAAGCUACUUACUCAUAGUGGUUGUUUCUCUGGUCUUGAGUGACUGUGUCCACAGUUCAUUUUUUUCCGGUAGGAAUAACUCCUUUUCUACAUCCACACUCCAUAGAGUCUCUCCUUUUCAGAUAUCCUGGGAUGAAAGAAUUUGGCUUUUUUUUUUUUUUUUUUUUUGACAUCUGUUUUCACUCUUAGGCUUUUAAACAAUAGUUAUUGCUCUUAUCCCUCUCAGAUUCUAAUAACUGAGAGUGAUGGGGCUAUAUUGAAUCUCUGUAUGCACUGAGAACUGAGCUAUGAAGAGGAUCUUAUUAAACUGCUGGUCUGACUUUAUGGAUUGACACUGUUCCUUUCUUUUAUUGUGAAAAAAAAAAAAAACCCUGAAAGUCUUGGGAACCCCCUAAAGUCUUUUGGGAAUCCUCAAAAAGCAUGGGAAGUUAAGUAUUUAGCUACAUAAAUGUUGUAAGAUCAUAUCUUAUGUAUAGAAGUAAUAAGACCAUUUGGAAUUACUGGACUAAUUGAAUAGUUAAGGUUUCUAUUCGGGACAAUAAAAUGUAUUUUGAAAGUGCUGCUAACUAUUGAUGCUGACAGUGUUUCACUCCUAUGAGUGACCCAAACAUAUUAUAAAUAUGUGGUAAAGGGAAUGGAGCCUGUGGGGUUGAGCAGAAUGUUGUACUAGCUGUGCCUGGACUGAGUAUAGCAGCUUUAUGAUUAUGAGAAAACAAAUUCUUUAUUUUUUUUUCUGUUCCAAAGAUUCAUCCUAUGGGGUGGCCAUAAAGUCUAGAAUUAGAUACUAAUAUUUUGUCAUUCAUUAUAACAUAUCAAUAAACCAUUUGUUAAAAGAUUUGCCUGGUUUCCAGACUUGGUGGCCACCUUGAAUAAUUCUUGCUGUCUUCUGGGAAGGAUGAUGAAAUUUAUUCCUGCUGCCUUAAAAAUAUGUAUCCCUUCUUCACCCAUCAUGACUGUCCCCAGUGAGUGUCCUUUACUAUUCUUGGGAGUGACUCCUGUCUAACUUUUCAUACUGGCGAGAAGAAAAGAGGCCUAUUUUAACACUUUAGUGGUGUUGAAACACAUUACUUACUUUCUGAAGAUGUCCCAGUGAAUCCUCUGUCAAUUCACUGCCAUAUGUAAUCUAUAUGAUAAGGAAUGCAUCUUCCAAGUACUGCCCAAACUCUUGCCAGCUCCUCUCCCAUUGUCCCUUCAUGUGAAUAUUUCUUGGCUACCUUAGUGGAAAUAUAGAUCAGUCUUCUCCCCAUCCAUCCUCUCAAACAUAAUGAGAUUGUUUACUUUUUAGAUUUAUGCAGUGAAAAUGCCCAGUCAGGUCUGAAUCGUCAGUGCAUUAUAUUGACCCUGAGCACUUUAGAAUUUAGAGUUGCAAUUGAAUGCCAGCUGUGGAGAUGGGGUGCAUAUCAGAUAUAUAAAUAAAGCUCAGGUUUGCUAGGGAACCAGGUAUAGAGAAAAAUAAGUCUGAUAUGAGGAAAAUUGCACAAUUUAGAGUAGUUAUGCCGUAGAGAAAAUUUCCACAAACUAGGAAAUGUAGAGAGUUAUUCUAUAGAAUACUCAAAAGAGGAAAGUAUGUGAUUUUUGGAAACAGGAAAAUCUUCAAACUUCUUUCUUCACUUCCCUUUGUGUUUAGCUGACCCUCCAAUGUGAUCAUUGCCUUUGGAGUUUGGGAGAGGUACGGGAAGUGGCCUGAUGCCUGCUUCCAUACUUCACUCCUCCAUCCAUCCUUCCCUCCCUCUUCCCCUCCAGCUAAAUGGACAAUUCUAGCCAACAUUGAGUCACUCAAUAAGUCUCAACAGUGGGUGUGUUUGCUGAGAUUGUCCAGCAGUUGAGCAGUUUGGUCUCACCUCCCUCGCUAGUUGAGACCAAAAAGAGACAAAUAACUUUUUCAUGGUCUUUGAAACAUAAUGCUUAUUUCGUGGUCAAUGGCUUUAAAAAAAUCUGUUUCUUGUUUUCUUCAACAAACUCACUAGUUUUCCCUUAAAUGAUAUUGUAAAAAUUAAAGUAAUCUUGAAAAUGUUUUGACAAAAGUAAAAUUAAAGGGACA